UUAACAGGCCUCUGUAUGAAAAUUUAAGCAGAGGCAAAGCCCGAAAGGAAAAUUUGGAGGCAACGGGAAACAGAAUUGUCCCUACAGUCAAACUUAACAGUCUACGUUCCCCGCAAGAAAAGCAACAACUCUCCGGAAAGUGUUACUAUGUUGGGGGGGUGGGGGGAGUCACUGGUUUGGGUCCCCUCCCUUCUAGGUGUGAGGGGGGCGUGGCCACCCCUGAAGUCCGAGGGGUCCUGGUGGCUGGGGGGGGGGGGGACAGUGUCAGGAGGACCCACCCUGCAGGCUGUGGAAUCCUGGGGGAUCCCCACAUAGCUGUGGGGAGGGCCAUUGGACUUGUGCUAACCUGGGACUUGGGCAUUAAAAAGGGGAUAGGGACCCCUGAGAAUCCAGCACCGGUCGGUUGAGUCACAUGCUGGGUAAUCACCUAAGCCAGGUGUCUCGUGGGGGCCCUUGGUUUCCAGGGCAGGACUCGGGCGGGGCUGGCUAUCUGGUGUAGAAGGAGCCAGCGCUGGAGGCCUGAGGAGGCCCCUGUGACUUCAAAAGUACUCCUGGAAAAAUGGUAACUCAUAGCCCAAGGGAAAUCCGAGCUUUUCUCUCUCACCCAGAGGGCCAUUCUCUCCGCAACACAGGGACGCAGUGACGGCAGAAUGAAGCAGAAAUGAAGCCUGAGAACAGAGCUGGCCUGUACUCUUGGUGUCAGAGGGCAGCUGAACUCCUCCCUCCUCUGUCUCCGCAGAAAAGAAGACUUAAGAGUGUCCGUUUCUCCCCUUUCCAGCCCAGGGAAUUCAGGUCUGGCCCACCAAAAACAGAACAGGCAUCCUCUGAAGCCCCGUGCUCCUUCCAGAGAGGAAUGAAAAGGGGAGCUGUUUGCUUUUCCUCCUACGUGACUUCAUGACGCGCAGAGACUUCUGGGUUUCCUCACGGCUAAGAUUCCAGCUAAGAUUCCC
This is a long non-coding RNA of Leopardus geoffroyi (Geoffroy's cat), 950 nucleotides long. RefSeq lists it as uncharacterized. The transcript has 3 exons. The record is from RefSeq and is a predicted model, not a curated record. Lineage: Eukaryota; Metazoa; Chordata; Mammalia; Carnivora; Felidae.